Molecule: ribosomal RNA, 274 nt
Filed under: uncultured Brevibacterium sp.
Lineage: Bacteria; Bacillati; Actinomycetota; Actinomycetes; Micrococcales; Brevibacteriaceae
Description: partial 16S ribosomal RNA
Rfam family: Bacterial small subunit ribosomal RNA
Source: RNAcentral
CACCGGGUGGAUGAGUGGCGAACGGGUGAGUAACACGUGAGUAACCUGCCCCUGACUUCGGGAUAAGCCCGGGAAACUGGGUCUAAUACCGGAUACGACUGCCGGACGCAUGUCUGGUGGUGGAAAGUUUUUUCGGUUGGGGAUGGGCUCGCGGCCUAUCAGUUUGUUGGUGAGGUAAUGGCUCACCAAGACGACGACGGGUAGCCGGCCUGAGAGGGCGACCGGCCACACUGGGACUGAGACACGGCCCAGACUCCUACGGGAGGCAGCAGCC